GACUGUUAUGAUUCUUUAUAACCAGGAUGUCCAAUUAAUGCUUUGAAUUCAUUUUACAUAAAUUUAUGUUUCAUUUUUUUUCCCCUUGUACAUGGCUGCAUGUAAUGUGCUACUUUCACCAGUAAGUGGAGGUAAUAGACCUAGUAGAUCUUUGGAGGCUCCAAAACUCUAAUAUUAAUGGAGUUUGAAGUUUGUUCCACAACUGCAUUUCACUCACUGCCUCUGUUUGUAUCUCUGUCACUGCAGGACCAACAUGGAGCGAGAAGUCAGCGCUCUCAGGAGGCUGACAAACCUCACAGAAGGAAGGGAGGAAAAAAAUACACCUGUGAUCAGUGUGGGAAGGAUUUUACUAGGAAGGGUUCAUUAAAAAGUCAUCAAGUGAUCCACACUGGAGAGAAGCCAGUCAGCUGUGACUUGUGUGGAAAGUCUUUUACCCAGGCUGGACACUUAAAAACACACCAACUCAUCCACAGUGGAGAGAAGCCGUACAGCUGUGAUCAGUGUGGCAGAGCUUUCACUCAGAGUGGCAACUUAAAAAGUCAUCAAGUUACCCACUCUGGAAUUAAGGCAUACAGCUGUGACUAUUGUGGAAAGAUUUUCACCCUGCUAAGAAACAGAAAUACACACCUACGCAUUCACACUGGACAUGAUGUGUACUGCUGUAAUCAGUGUGGCAAAAAGUUUGGAUCAGACCAACAUUUACAAUCCCACAUGUUUAUCCACACUGAGGAGAGACCUCAUAAAUGUGACCUGUGUGAUAAGACUUUUAAAGCUCCACGUUACCUGAAAGCACACCAACAGAUCCACAGCAGAGAGAGACUCUACAAGUGCAGUUACUGUGAGUUCGAGUCCUGACAAUGCUUGCUGCAUGAGGUGGCAGCUCAUCAGGCCCUGUGGCUUCUACCAGAUCAUCAAUACAGGGCUGGUCACAAAAGGGCUGGUCACUGAGACUUGGGGUUGGGCCUUUGACAGCGUCUCGGUCGUUCUUCAUGAGACUCCUAACACUACCUAUUCCUACUCUGUGACCCUCUUCAAAGCCCUCAACCUCAUUGGAGGCUUCAAGGUCAGAAUCAGAAUGGGACUCAAUGGCUGGGUCACAGGCCACCUGACAGGACGGUGGAUGGGAAAUGGGUUCUCCUGAAGACACUAUACUACCUCGGCUGUAUGAUCCACCCCAUCACACUCUGAAUCCGCAACGGAAAGGUCCUGCUUGACACUGGGUACACUACUUGGAUCAGGGCUAGUAUCAAAAGAGGACACAGACACUUGUUCUUGGUCCAACUCGAGCGGCAGGAAGUUCGCUGGCAGGAGCAGGUUUUGGUGGACGACUCUCUCCUGUCCAUUGGUCGUGUUUCUGAUGCGAAGCAGAGCCACACAGAUGGAUCCAGUUCUCAGCCCUGUCAUCGCUGUGGUG
Molecule: long non-coding RNA, 1414 nt
Organism: Archocentrus centrarchus (flier cichlid)
Lineage: Eukaryota; Metazoa; Chordata; Actinopteri; Cichliformes; Cichlidae
Exons: 3
Source: RefSeq, a predicted model, not a curated record